UGGUCAAGUUAUUAAGGGUGCAGGGCGGAUGCCUUGGCACUAGGAGCCGAUGAAGGACGUGAUAAGCUGCGAUAAGCUUCGGGGAGUUGCACGUAAACUUUGAUCCGAAGAUUUCCGAAUGAGGAAACUCACUUAGAGUAAUGUCUAAGUAUCAUUAAGUGAAUACAUAGCUUAAUGAGGGGAACUCAGGGAACUGAAACAUCUAAGUACCUGAAGGAAGAGAAAGAAAUUCGAUUCCGUAAGUAGCGGCGAGCGAACGCGGAUUAGCCCAAACCAAUAAAGUUUUCUUUACUGGGGUUGCGGACAUAUCAUAACGAAGAGGUAUCGUAAUUGAAGAGGUUUGGAAAGACCCACCACAGAAGGUAAUAGUCCUGUAUGUUAAACGAGAAGACUUCAGAUAUGAUCCAGAGUACCACGGGACACGUGAAACCCUGUGGGAAGCAGGAGGGACCACCCUCCAAGGCUAAAUACUACCUAGUGACCGAUAGCGUAUAGUACCGUGAGGGAAAGGUGAAAAGAACCCCGGGAGGGGAGUGAAAUAGAACCUGAAACCCUGCACUUACAAGCUGUGGAAGCACAUUUCUUGUGUGACCGCGUACUUUUUGUAGAACGGGCCAACGAGUUACGUUAAGUAGCAAGGUUAAGCACUUAAGGUGCGGAGCCGUAGCGAAAGCGAGUUUUAACUGAGCGUUCAGUUACUUGACGUAGACCCGAAACCGGGCGACCUACCCAUGAGCAGGAUGAAGCGAAAGUAAAAUUUCGUGGAGGUCCGAACCCACGAGCGUUGAAAAGCUCGGGGAUGACUUGUGGGUAGCGGUGAAAUUCCAAUCGAGCCCGGAGAUAGCUGGUUCUCCCCGAAAUAGCUUUAGGGCUAGCCUCAAGGUGAGAGAUACGGAGGUAGAGCACUGAAUGUCCUAGGGGGUAUUGCACCUACCGAAGACUAUCAAACUCCGAAUGCCGUCAUCUUAUACUUGGGAGUCAGACUGUGGGUGAUAAGAUUCAUAGUCGAAAGGGCAACAGCCCAGAUCGUCAGCUAAGGUCCCUAAAUGUAAGUUAAGUGGUAAAGGAUGUGGGAUUGCACAGACAACCAGGAUGUUGGCUUAGAAGCAGCCACUCAUUCAAAGAGUGCGUAAUAGCUCACUGGUCGAGUGAUCCUGCGCCGAAGAUUUCCGGGGCUAAAACUUACUACCGAAGCUACGGCAUCAGUAAUGAUGGGUAGGGGAGCUUCCCAUACGGGUUGAAGCAUGACCGUAAGGACAUGUGGACAGUAUGGGAGUGAGAAUGUUGGCAUGAGUAGCGAGAUGUGGGUGAGAAUCCCACAGGCCGUAAACCCAAGGUUUCCAGGGGAAGGUUCGUCCGCCCUGGGUUAGUCGGGACCUAAGCUGAGGCCGAAAGGCGUAGGUGAUGGACAACAGGUUGAUAUUCCUGUACUACCGAUAACCGUUUGAGAGAAGGGAUGACACAGUAGGAUAAGCUAAGCACACUGUUGGUUAUGUGUGCCCAAGCAUUGAGGCAGUCAAAGCAGGCAAAUCCGCUUUGAUAAUGCUGGGAUGUGAUGGGGAGCGAAAUUUAGUAGCGAAGUAGCUGAUUUCACACUGUCAAGAAAAGUCUCUAUCGAGGUUAAAGGUACCCGUACCGCAAACCGACACAGGUGGGUGAGGAGAGUAUCCUAAGGCCAGCGAGAGAACUGUUGUUAAGGAACUCGGCAAAAUGACCCCGUAACUUAGGGAUAAGGGGUGCCACCAUCCGGUGGCCGCAGAGAAUAGGCCCAAGCGACUGUUUACCAAAAACAUAGGUUUCUGCUAAGUCGCAAGACGAUGUAUAGGAGCUGACGCCUGCCCGGUGCUGGAAGGUUAAGGGGAUCUGUUAGAGCAAUCGAAGCAGUGAACUUAAGCCCCAGUAAACGGCGGCCGUAACUAUAACGGUCCUAAGGUAGCGAAAUUCCUUGUCGGGUAAGUUCCGACCCGCACGAAAGGCGUAACGAUUUGGGCACUGUCUCAACAACAGACUCGGUGAAAUUGUAAUUCCGGUGAAGAUGCCGGAUACCUGCGACAGGACGGAAAGACCCCAUGGAGCUUUACUGUAGCUUGACAUUGGGUCUUGGUACUACAUGUACAGGAUAGGUGGGAGGCUUUGAAACCAGGACGCCAGUUUUGGCGGAGCCAUCCUUGGGAUACCACCCUUGUAGUACUGGGACUCUAACCAUAGGCCAUGAAUCUGGUCUUGGGACACUGUCAGGUGGGCAGUUUGACUGGGGCGGUCGCCUCCCAAAAGGUAACGGAGGCGCUCAAAGGUUCUCUCAGUACGGUCGGAAAUCGUACGUAGAGUGUAAAGGCAAAAGAGAGCUUGAUUGCAAGACAUACAGGUCGAGCAAGGAUGAAAAUCGGACUUAGUGAUCCGGUGGUUCUGCGUGGAAGGGCCAUCGCUCAACGGAUAAAAGCUACCCUGGGGAUAACAGGCUUAUCUCCCCCAAGAGUCCACAUCGACGGGGAGGUUUGGCACCUCGAUGUCGGCUCAUCACAUCCUGGGGCUGUAGUAGGUCCCAAGGGUUGGGCUGUUCGCCCAUUAAAGUGGUACGCGAGCUGGGUUCAGAACGUCGUGAGACAGUUCGGUCCCUAUCCGUCGCAGGCGUAGGAAAUUUGAGAAGACCUGUCCUUAGUACGAGAGGACCGGGAUGGACGUACCUCUGGUGUACCAGUUGUUCUGCCAAGGGCAUGGCUGGGUAGCUAUGUACGGAAUGGAUAAGCGCUGAAAGCAUCUAAGCGCGAAGCCAACUUCAAGAUAAGAUUUCCCACCGCAAGGGUAAGACCCCAGAAAGACUAUCUGGUUGAUAGGUCGAAGGUGUAAGUGCAGCAAUGUAUUUAGCUUAUCGAUACUAAUAGGUCGAGGACUUGACCAAU
Molecule: ribosomal RNA, 2900 nt
Filed under: Clostridioides difficile
Lineage: Bacteria; Bacillati; Bacillota; Clostridia; Peptostreptococcales; Peptostreptococcaceae
Description: bacterial LSU rRNA
Rfam family: Bacterial large subunit ribosomal RNA
Source: RNAcentral